Molecule: unclassified non-coding RNA, 300 nt
Filed under: uncultured fungus
Lineage: Eukaryota; Fungi
Description: sequence contains ITS2
Rfam family: 5.8S ribosomal RNA (bases 1-52)
Source: RNAcentral
AACGCACCUUGCGCUCCUUGGUAUUCCGAGGAGCAUGCCUGUUUGAGUGUCUUGAAAUCAUCAAACCCCUCCGGUUUCUGCUGGAGCGGGUUUGGACUUGGGGGGUUUUUGCUGCCUCACGGUGGCUCCCCUUAAAUGAAUCGGUCGGGCUUUCGUGUGGCUUGUCCCUUGGCGUUGUAUCAACCUCGUCGCUGGAUGGCUCGCGAGUUUUGCGCCCCUCCAAGACCAGCCUCUGGAGCGGCGGUCAACUUCAAUUCUUGAUCUGACCUCAAAUCAGGUAGGACUACCCGCUGAACUUAA